CCGGGGGAAUGAGGGCUUUAAAAGGUUCCUCGGGGAGGCUCCCCGGCUCCAAGCUCACCGCCUGCCUGCCCCCGGACACCUCUGUCAUCAUGUGCUUCCCGGUUCUGUGCCUUGCCCUGUCCCUGGCAGGGACUGGCGCUGUGCCCCUCAUCCAGUCCCGGAUCAUAGGAGGCCAUGAGUGUAGGAAGCAUUCCCAGCCCUGGCAGGUGGCUCUGUACCGCUUCAGCAGCUUCCAGUGCGGAGGUGUCCUGGUGGCCCCCCAGUGGGUGCUCACAGCUGCUCACUGCAGGAGCGACAAUUACCAGCUCUGGCUGGGUCGCCACAACCUGUUUGAGGACGAAGACACAGCCCAGUUUGCCCAUGUCAGUAAGGACUUUCCACACCCCGAUUUCAACCUGAGCCUCCUGAAGAACGACACCCUCCCCACGGGGGAGGACUACAGCCAUGACCUCAUGCUGCUCCGCCUGGAGGGGCCCGUCCAGAUCACAGAGGAUGUGCAGGUCCUGGAGCUGCCCACCAAGGAACCCCAACUGGAGAGCACCUGCUAUGCCUCUGGCUGGGGCAGCAUCGAACCAGCUAAGUUCAUUUACCCAGAUGAUCUCCAGUGUGUGGACCUUACUGUCCUGCCCAGUGAGGUGUGUACCAGUGCCCACUCCGAGAAGGUGACAGAGUUCAUGCUGUGUGCUGGACACCUGGAGGGCGGCAAGGACACCUGCGUGCCCCUAGAAUGAUUGUUUUUUCCUGACUGGAUCCUGCCUUGCCACUACAUGGAGACUUGAGAAUGAAGCCCACUCAACACCUUUGAACACCAGUCCGACGUUUGGGGAAUUUCCCAAUGUUUGUAUCCACACUUCCCGGCAAGGAAACCAGCCUCUUACUGCUAGGACCUCAGCAUGCGACCAGGUUCCACCAACGAAAUACAGCCACGCUAAACUUGGAAUCAGCAGCCAGGAGAAAUAGCCGUGAAAUCUAUUCUAGUCGGGGUGGCUGCAACUACCUCCAGGGUCCUGGGGCAGCAGAGAAAGAGGUUCCCCAGGGGAGUCCAGGCCUGGAGAGACUGGGUUCCACACGUCAAGCUCCAGUGUGUGUGACCAGUCAGCCAGUCCUGAUUACUCAGUCCCUGGAGCCCAGUUCCCUGGCCUCACAGAGAGUCUAUAAGCGCCGCAGUAUCCUGGGUAAAUCUAUUUUCUGCUUAAACCAGCUUGAAUUGGCUUCUGCUGCUUGUCAUGAGAAUCCUGACUUCCAUAUGGGGAGCGUAUAUCAAAGCCUUACAAGAUUUCAUCAGCCCUUUGGAAGCACUGCUAUUCUGCUCUUGGGAAUAUAUCCCCCAAGAGGAAUCAUGCUCAAAGAAAGUACUGUAAACAGAGGGAGAAAUUGUGCCCAGUUGCCUUUGCCCACCCAGCAUCCAGUCCCGUUCUUCUGGCAAGAGCAACCUGAUAUUGUCCGGAGGAACUCUCUGCCCACCCUCUGUCCUUGGGAUUCUGACAGAAAUGACCCCCUCCGUUGACUCUUUAAGAAAAGCAUGUGAUUCAGACCCAGGCAAACACAGCAUGACGUCCUCCUGACCAUAGCAAAUGAUUCAGGGAGGAGUGAGAAAUCCCAGGGCAGUUAAUCUGAGCCCAUCGGAGCUAAUGCUGAGACCUCUGUGUGAGGGCCACAGAAGAAAACGUAUUCUCUUUUCUUCAUCGUUGCUUACAGGAAAAAAAUGGGACCCGGGAGCUGCUGAGAGCCCCACUGCCACUGUGUGAGCACAGCUUGCCUGAGGGCCCAACACAAAGGAAUCCUUCAAGGAGAGAUGGCAAGAGACGGGUACCUUUUGAGCACCUGGAUGCCGAAGCGGGGACAAUUUAUGCCUGCAGACUUUUCCAUAACUUGAAACCAGCUUGAGUUUGAGAGGUAUGAGAGACAGAGAUACUCAGAAUAAAUAAAUAAGAUUAAUACCACACAAUA
RNA transcript from Lagenorhynchus albirostris (white-beaked dolphin), 1950 nucleotides. It is a transcript of the gene named kallikrein 1, with no coding region annotated. NCBI's taxonomy places the organism in Eukaryota, Metazoa, Chordata, Mammalia, Artiodactyla, Delphinidae. The transcript is spliced from 6 exons. The record is from RefSeq and is a predicted model, not a curated record.